Clostridium sp. CAG:242 is the source of this 79-nucleotide non-coding RNA. NCBI's taxonomy places the organism in Bacteria, Bacillati, Bacillota, Clostridia, Eubacteriales, Clostridiaceae. The record is from Rfam.
ACAGUACAAACUGAGCAGGCGUAAUGCCGGGUCACCUUGGUGACAGCGGAUGAACAGUAUGGGCAUCUGCGGGACAGUA